This 348-nucleotide ribosomal RNA is filed under the name uncultured bacterium. RNAcentral describes it as "bacterial SSU rRNA". It matches the Rfam family "Bacterial small subunit ribosomal RNA", at positions 28 to 387 of the family's 1533-position model. The record is from RNAcentral.
GAUGAACGCUAGCGGCAGGCUUAAUACAUGCAAGUCAAGGGGGUAGCAAUACAACCGGCGCACGGGUGAGUAACGCGUACACAACAUACCAUAUACUGGAGUAUAGCUUUGGGAAACUGAAGGUAAUCCUCCAUAACAUUGCGAGAGGGCAUCUGAUUGCAAUUAAAGUUUCGGCGGUAUAUGAUUGGUGUGCGUUUUGAUUAGCUAGUUGGUAGGGUAACGGCCUACCAAGGCGACGAUCAAUAGCUGGCGUGAGAGCGCGACCAGCCACACUGGAACUGAGACACGGUCCAGACUCCUACGGGAGGCAGCAGUAGGGAAUAUUGGACAAUGGAGGAAACUCUGGAU